This is a long non-coding RNA of Mytilus trossulus (common blue mussel), 1294 nucleotides long. RefSeq lists it as uncharacterized. The record is from RefSeq and is a predicted model, not a curated record. The transcript has 3 exons. NCBI's taxonomy places the organism in Eukaryota, Metazoa, Mollusca, Bivalvia, Mytilida, Mytilidae.
AAGGACACAGUUAUCGUCCUUUGAUUUUCGUUGUCUACGAAUAUAGUCCCUAGUGUAAACAGUGUAUAACUUGCAUGUUUUAUUUAAUACACUUUCCCAAUUUAUUUAUUUAUAUUAAAUGCAUGAAAUAUUCAGUAGGGGGAUGUUAUUACAUGUCAAAAAAAUUUGGGUGCUGAAACUUUAUGUUAAGUAGUGAUUUGGUCCAGUUCUAAAAGGUCAAAUUUUAUCACGUCUGAAGCUGUCAAACUGAAUUUUACACCCCCUUAACACAGAAUUGUCAAUAUUUUGGGUUAGAGCUGGGAGAAGUUUCUAUAAUUUUGAUAUUAUUUGUCUCACUGGUAGUACACUACACUGUAAAAAUAUUUUUGAGAAAGAGCAGGUGCGAUUUUUUUAAUUUGAAUUUAUUGUCUAAAAGAAAUGCACUACGAAAUAACUGUGUUCUCGGGCCUAAGAGGUCCAAGGACACAGUUAUCGUCCUUUGGUUUUCGUUGUCUACGAAUAUAGUACCUAGUGUAAACAGUGUAUAACUUGCAUGUUUUAUUUAAUACACUUUCCCAAUUUAUUUAUUUAUAUUAAAUGCAUGAAAUAUUAAGUAGGGGGAUGUUAUUACAUGUCAAAAAAAUUUGGGUGCUGAAACUUUAUGUUAAGUAGUGAUUUGGUCCAGUUCUAAAAGGUCAAAUUUUAUCACGUCUGAAGCUGUCAAACUGAAUUUUACACCCCCUUAACACAGAAUUGUCAAUAUUUUGGGUUAGAGCUGGGAGAAGUUUCUAUAAUUUUGAUAUUAUUUGUCUCACUGGUAGUACACUACACUGUAAAAAUAUUUUUGAGAAAGAGCAGGUGCGAUUUUUUUAAUUUGAAUUUAUUGUCUAAAAGAAAUGCACUACGAAAUAACUGUGUUCUCGGGCCUAAGAGGUCCAAGGACACAGUUAUCGUCCUUUGGUUUUCGUUGUCUACGAAUAUAGUACCUAGUGUAAACAGUGUAUAACUUGCAUGUUUUAUUUAAUACACUUUCCCAAUUUAUUUAUUUAUAUUAAAUGCAUGAAAUAUUAAGUAGGGGGAUGUUAUUACAUGUCAAAAAAAUUUGGGUGCUGAAACUUUAUGUUAAGUAGUGAUUUGGUCCAGUUCUAAAAGGUCAAAUUUUAUCACGUCUGAAGCUGUCAAACUGAAUUUUACACCCCCUUAACACAGAAUUGUCAAUAUUUUGGGUUAGAGCUGGGAGAAGUUUCUAUAAUUUUGAUAUUAUUUGUCUCACUGGUAGUACACUACACUGUAAAAAUAUUUUUGAGAAAGAGCA